This 1858-nucleotide long non-coding RNA is filed under the name Oryzias javanicus (javanese ricefish). RNAcentral's name for it is "lncRNA (ENSOJAG00000022513.1)". The record is from RNAcentral. Lineage: Eukaryota; Metazoa; Chordata; Actinopteri; Beloniformes; Adrianichthyidae.
CGCUCGCACACGGGGCGGGGCUGCAGGAGUCUCGAACACCAGACCUUCAUGGACGAGUCUCUCUCCAGUCACACCUUUACCUUUCCUCUCAGUGCUGGACUUCUUCCAUCAUCUGUCAAAGACGGAGAACCAGCAGAGACCUCCAAGUUCAGAUCCUCAUGAGGAACUGGCAGAUGUUUGAUGUGUGAAGGGGCGGGGCUGUAUGGAUCCGAUCCUUCCAGGACUUUCUGAACCUAAAUCAGGAACUGUCGGGCCGGGAUGUGAGUGAUGGAGACGCCUGUUUGUGCUUUCUAAAACACCAAGACCCCCACCAUGAAGACCGGGAGCCCCCGGGUUUGUGGGCCGGUCUCUGGCGACGGUCAGUGAUCCCUCGUCUGGGAACGAUCAGGCAGAUGAAGGUCUCAGAGCUGGAUGGACCCGUCUCGUCUGGAGGACAGCUGGAGCGUCUGGUACCGACCGUCUGGUACCGAGUGUCUGGUACCGAGUGUCUGGUACCGAGUGUCUGGUACCGAAAGUCUGGUACCAAACGUCUGGUACCGAGGGUCUGGUACCAAACGUCUGGUACCGAACGUCUGGUACCAAACGUCUGGUACCGAAAGUCUGGUACCAAACGUCUGGUACCGACCGUCUGGUACCAAACGUCUGGUACCGAGCGUCCUCAGAGCUCACUGCCUGUCUGUCCACCAACCACAGAUCUUUAAAUCUGACUCUGAACAGAUUCAGUCAGAAAUCCAGGAUGUGUUCAAGAUCCAGAUCCACAGAGCCGGUCCUCGAGGUCUGGAUUCUGUGAUCCACAGAGCCGGUCCUCGAGGUCUGGAUUCUGUGAUCCACAGAGCCGGUCCUCGAGGUCUGGAUUCUGUGGUCCACAGAGCCGGUCCUCGAGGUCUGGAUUCUGUGGUCCACAGAGCCGGUCCUGGUCCAGGUCUGGAUUCUGUUCAGUUCUGCAUGAAGAAGGAAGUGAACUGCAGUUUCCUCAUGACAAUCCUGUGGUGCGUUCAAGGACACACCUGCUGCAGGCUCUUGAUGCUGCAUGAACCUUGAAGAGUCAAAUGUGGUGAAUCUUCUUCUCUUACAGCUCUAUUCCCAUAAAUACGAGUCCUAGAAUUCCAGCUUUACUCCUCCUUCAUGAUCGACAGAGUCCCUGAUUGGUCAGAGUUCAUCUGGUUUAACCAGGUGUUAUCUGAAGGGUCCAGGUGGGUUGACGCGUUCAAUGACUUAGAAGAACGACACGAGAACAGACUAGAUGUGAAUCGAGACGUGAAGGUUUCUGACCUGGAAGGAGCGCAGACAGUCAUGUCGCUCCAGACUUUAUUCCAGCAUUCUCUAUACUGUCAUCAGUGAUGUCACAGCCGCUCACAGAAGACCUGCGGAGGGACUCGUCAUGACAGCUUCCAAGUCACACCCCCCACCACCGUAUCGGGGGUAGAGGUGGGGGUGCAGACGGAAAAUCCUCAGAAUGUUUCAGCUCCAUGACAGCAGGUCUCUCUGAAGACUCGGACCGGGAAAAUCGGGUCUCCUGAUGCGGCUGCACCGACAUGGGCGGGGGGGCACUCGUCAAGGGCUGAGCGGCGCGGCGCGGCGCCUGCAGGGCGGCACGGCGCCUGCAGGGCGGCACGGCGCCUGCAGGGCGGCGCUCUGCAGCUGCUGCUCGUUCUGAGAGGUGAAACUGCUCCCUCUGGCUGGGAGGUUCUGCCGUCUGAACCAGAACCUCCCCAGCACCGGAGGCCCCUCCCCAGCACCGGAGGCCCCUCCCCAGCACCGGAGGCCCCUCCCCAGCACCGGAGGCCCCUCCCCAGCACCGGAGGCCCCUCCCCAGCACCGGAGGCCUCCCAGCACCAAAGGCCCCUCCCAGCACCGG